UAAUACGGAGGGUGCAAGCGUUAUCCGGAUUUACUGGGUUUAAAGGGUGCGUAGGCGGGCUAGUAAGUCAGAGGUGAAAUCUCCAAGCUUAACUUGGAAACUGCCCCUGAUACUAUUAGUCUUGAAUAUCGAUGAGGCGGGCGGAAUACAUCAUGUAGCGGUGAAAUGCUUAGAUAUGAUGUAGAACACCGAUUGCGAAGGCAGCUCGCUAACCGAUUAUUGACGCUGAGGCACGAAAGCGUGGGGAUCAAACAGGAUUAGAUACCCUGGUAGUCCACGCCCUAAACGAUGAUUACUCGACAUUGGCGAUACACUGUCAGUGUCCAAGCGAAAGCAUUAAGUAAUCCACCUGGGAAGUACGUUCGCAAGAAUG
RNAcentral lists this ribosomal RNA (373 nucleotides) under uncultured bacterium. RNAcentral describes it as "bacterial SSU rRNA". It matches the Rfam family "Bacterial small subunit ribosomal RNA", at positions 521 to 896 of the family's 1533-position model. The record is from RNAcentral.